AGCCUUGAGGUGUUUAACAUGCUAGAUUGCAAAUCUUGAGUAGCAAAUUAACGUUUGCCGGGGCUU
RNAcentral lists this transfer RNA (66 nucleotides) under Microphis boaja (Asian river pipefish). Its description in RNAcentral is "tRNA-Cys". The record is from RNAcentral. Lineage: Eukaryota; Metazoa; Chordata; Actinopteri; Syngnathiformes; Syngnathidae.